GAUGAACGCUGGCGGCGUUCCUAAUACAUGCGAGUCGAGCGAACAGACGAGGAGCUUGCUCCUCUGACGUUAGCGGCGGACGGGUGAGUAACACGUGGAUAACCUACCUAUAAGACUGGGAUAACUUCGGGAAACCGGAGCUAAUACCGGAUAAUAUAUUGAACCGCAUGGUUCAAUAGUGAAAGACGGUUUUGCCGUCACUUAUAGAUGGAUCCGCGCCGCAUUAGCUAGUUGGUAAGGUAACGGCUUACCAAGGCGACGAUGCGUAGCCGACCUGAGAGGGUGAUCGGCCACACUGGAACUGAGACACGGUCCAGACUCCUACGGGAGGCAGCAGUAGGGAAUCUUCCGCAAUGGGCGAAAGCCUGACGGAGCAACGCCGCGUGAGUGAUGAAGGUCUUCGGAUCGUAAAACUCUGUUAUUAGGGAAGAACAAAUGUGUAAGUAACUAUGCACGUCUUGACGGUACCUAAUCAGAAAGCCACGGCUAACUACGUG
This 497-nucleotide ribosomal RNA is filed under the name uncultured bacterium. RNAcentral describes it as "partial 16S ribosomal RNA". It matches the Rfam family "Bacterial small subunit ribosomal RNA", at positions 28 to 507 of the family's 1533-position model. The record is from RNAcentral.